GUGCUCGCUUUGGCAGCACACAUACUACGACUGGAGCGAAGCAGAGAAGAUCAGCGUGGCUCCUGCCCAAGUUUGACACGCAGAUUCGUGAAGUGCUCUAUAGUUUU
RNAcentral lists this small nuclear RNA (107 nucleotides) under Chinchilla lanigera (long-tailed chinchilla). The record is from RNAcentral. Lineage: Eukaryota; Metazoa; Chordata; Mammalia; Rodentia; Chinchillidae.